UCCCUGGUGGUCCAGUGGUUAAGACUCCUUGAUCCCAGUGCAAGGGGCAUGGGUUCAAUCCCUGUUCAGGGAA
This 73-nucleotide transfer RNA is filed under the name Bos taurus (domestic cattle). It matches the Rfam family "tRNA". From Rfam's summary of the family: Transfer RNA (tRNA) molecules are approximately 80 nucleotides in length. Their secondary structure includes four short double-helical elements and three loops (D, anti-codon, and T loops). The record is from Rfam by way of RNAcentral. Lineage: Eukaryota; Metazoa; Chordata; Mammalia; Artiodactyla; Bovidae. RNAcentral also lists the same sequence under 2 other names.